AGCGAACGCUGGCGGCAUGCCUAACACAUGCAAGUCGAACGAGAUCUUCGGGUCUAGUGGCGCACGGGCGCGUAACGCGUGGGAAUCUGCCCUUUGGUUCGGAAUAACAGUUGGAAACGACUGCUAAUACCGGAUGAUGACGAAAGUCCAAAGAUUUAUCGCCAGAGGAUGAGCCCGCGUAGGAUUAGCUAGUUGGUGUGGUAAAGGCGCACCAAGGCGACGAUCCUUAGCUGGUCUGAGAGGAUGAUCAGCCACACUGGGACUGAGACACGGCCCAGACUCCUACGGGAGGCAGCAGUGGGGAAUAUUGGACAAUGGGCGAAAGCUUGAUCCAGCAAUGCCGCGUGAGUGAUGAAGGCCUUAGGGUUGUAAAGCUCUUUUACCCGGGAUGAUAAUGACAGUACCGGGAGAAUAAGCUCCGGCUAACUCCGUGCCAGCCGCCGCGGUAA
RNAcentral lists this ribosomal RNA (449 nucleotides) under uncultured bacterium. Its description in RNAcentral is "partial 16S ribosomal RNA". It matches the Rfam family "Bacterial small subunit ribosomal RNA", at positions 29 to 523 of the family's 1533-position model. The record is from RNAcentral.